AAUUAGGCCGCAUGAGGGGUAUCAUUACAAUGCGUGUGUGCAUAAAUGAUAACAUGCAGAGUGAUCUAGGAGCCGAAUCCGGCGAUCCGACGUGAGCUCAUGGACGGGGUGGUGAGUGGGAGGCCCUAUGGACGGGGAGCGUCGGGACGCCCACAAUCAAUACUUGAGGAUAAUGUAGAGUGCGUGAAUAAUUCCGGGAAUAUAACCCAGGAUUGUUAGUAGGAUGUUGAUCAGCAGGUCCGCGCCACAACCACGUUCAAGGAACACUCCUAGUGGCGGGAGGAGGAUUGCAAAGAGAAUCUUGCAGAUGUCUGACGCGG
Molecule: unclassified non-coding RNA, 320 nt
Filed under: Hevea brasiliensis (rubber tree)
Lineage: Eukaryota; Viridiplantae; Streptophyta; Magnoliopsida; Malpighiales; Euphorbiaceae
Source: RNAcentral